CGAAGAUGAAAACACGGCCCGGUUGGUAGUCCGGGCGCGAAGCCGCUGGCGCAUGCGUGCGCCGUUGGUUUCGUCAGUAACCUGCCUCCUUGGUUGUCCGUUCUUCGUG
RNAcentral lists this non-coding RNA (109 nucleotides) under uncultured Gordonibacter sp. Its description in RNAcentral is "yjdF RNA". It matches the Rfam family "azaaromatic riboswitch aptamer (yjdF RNA)", at positions 6 to 91 of the family's 101-position model. The record is from RNAcentral. Lineage: Bacteria; Bacillati; Actinomycetota; Coriobacteriia; Eggerthellales; Eggerthellaceae.